Molecule: ribosomal RNA, 468 nt
Filed under: Triticum aestivum (bread wheat)
Lineage: Eukaryota; Viridiplantae; Streptophyta; Magnoliopsida; Poales; Poaceae
Description: partial small subunit ribosomal RNA
Source: RNAcentral
AUGGAUCCGGGCGGGAUGCUGCUGGAGGACUUCGGGCUGUGGGUGGACCUGGCGCGGCGCAUCCGCGAGGUGCUGGCCAACUACCCGGAGGGCAGCACCGCGCUGCGGGAGCUUAUCCAGAACGCCGACGAUGCCGGGGCCUCGUGCGUCCACCUCUGCCUCGACUGCUGCGCCCAUGGGGCCCGCUCGCUGCUCGCCCCCGCGCUCGCACAGUGUUCGCCAGCAACGACGCCGCCUUCACCGACAACGAGUUCGCCAGCAUCCCCCGCAUCGGCGGCAGCAAGAAGUCCUCCCAGGCCUGGAAGACCGGCAGCAAGAUGGGCGCUAGCUACGCUCUCUGUCGCUGCCGAGCUCUGCUUCGAGCUGCUGCUCUUUCAAUCUGAACCAAUUGUUUUAAAGAAGGCUAUUGAAAAAAGAUGUGUGUGGGUAUCAGUCACUCUCAUGCCGGCAUGCCGCACUUUCAGCUAG